CAACUUUCAGCAAUGGAUCUCUUUGGCUCUCGCAUCGAUGAAGAACGCAGCAAAUUGCGAUAUGUAAUGUGAAUUGCAGAUCUACAGUGAAUCAUUGAAUCUUUGAACGCACAUUGCGCUCCUUGGUGUUCCGAGGAGCAUGCCUGUUUGAGUGUCAG
This 158-nucleotide ribosomal RNA is filed under the name Gomphidius roseus. RNAcentral describes it as "5.8S ribosomal RNA". It matches the Rfam family "5.8S ribosomal RNA". Rfam says of the family: 5.8S ribosomal RNA (5.8S rRNA) is a component of the large subunit of the eukaryotic ribosome. It is transcribed by RNA polymerase I as part of the 45S precursor that also contains 18S and 28S rRNA. The record is from RNAcentral. Lineage: Eukaryota; Fungi; Basidiomycota; Agaricomycetes; Boletales; Gomphidiaceae.